RNAcentral lists this ribosomal RNA (489 nucleotides) under uncultured bacterium. Its description in RNAcentral is "bacterial SSU rRNA". It matches the Rfam family "Bacterial small subunit ribosomal RNA", at positions 33 to 518 of the family's 1533-position model. The record is from RNAcentral.
GGACGACGCUGGCGGCGUGCCUAACACAUGCAAGUCGAGCGGAGUUACAAGAGAAGUUUCGGAUGGAAUUUGUAAUUAGCGGCGGACGGGUGAGUAACGCGUGAGCGACCAACCUUGCACAGGGGGAUAACGGACCGAAAGGUUCACUAAUACCGCAUGAGACCACGGUGUUGCAUGACACAGAGGUCAAAGGAGCAAUCCGGUGCAAGACGGGCUCGCGUCCGAUUAGGUAGUUGGUGGGGUAAUGGGCCCACCAAGCCUAUGAUCGGUAGCCGACCUGAGAGGGUGAUCGGCCACAUUGGAACUGAGAUACGGUCCAAACUCCUACGGGAGGCAGCAGUGGGGAAUAUUGGGCCAAUGGGGGAAACCCUGACCCAGCAACGCCGCGUGAAGGAAGAAGGUUUUCGGAUUGUAAACUUCUGUCCUUGGUGAAGAGAAGAAGACGGUAGCCAAGGAGGAAGCCCCGGCUAACUACGUGCCAGCCGCCGC